ACGCUGGCGGCGUGCCUAAUACAUGCAAGUCGAACGGUCUUUUCUAUGGAAGCUUGCUUCCACUGAGAAGAUAGUGGCGAACGGGUGAGUAACACGUGGGUAACCUGCCCAUAAGAGGGGGAUAACAUCCGGAAACGGGUGCUAAUACCGCAUAGUUUUCUUGAUCGCAUGAUCGGGAAAGGAGAGACGGCCUUUGUGCUGUCGCUUAUGGAUGGACCCGCGGCGUAUUAGUUAGUUGGUGAGGUAACGGCUCACCAAGACGAUGAUACGUAGCCGACCUGAGAGGGUGAUCGGCCACAUUGGGACUGAGACACGGCCCAAACUCCUACGGGAGGCAGCAGUAGGGAAUCUUCCGCAAUGGACGAAAGUCUGACGGAGCAACGCCGCGUGAGUGAAGAAAAGGUUUUCGGAUCGUAAAACUCUGUUGUCAGAGAAGAACAAGUUGGGGAGUAACUGCUCCAGCCUUGACGGUAUCUGACCAGAAAGCCACGGCUAACUACGUGCCAGCCGCAGC
Molecule: ribosomal RNA, 514 nt
Filed under: uncultured bacterium
Lineage: Bacteria
Description: bacterial SSU rRNA
Rfam family: Bacterial small subunit ribosomal RNA
Source: RNAcentral